Molecule: ribosomal RNA, 253 nt
Filed under: uncultured bacterium
Lineage: Bacteria
Description: partial 16S ribosomal RNA
Rfam family: Bacterial small subunit ribosomal RNA
Source: RNAcentral
UACAGAGGUCUCGAGCGUUGUUCGGAUUCAUUGGGCGUAAAGGGUGCGUGGGUGGCGCCGUAAGUCGGGUGUGAAAUUUCGGAGCUUAACUCCGAAACUGCAUUCGAUACUGCGGUGCUUGAGGACUGGAGAGGAGACUGGAAUUCAUGGUGUAGCAGUGAAAUGCGUAGAGAUCAUGAGGAAGACCAGUGGCGAAGGCGGGUCUCUGGACAGUUCCUGACACUGAGGCACGAAGGCCAGGGGAGCAAACGGG